Molecule: long non-coding RNA, 1017 nt
Organism: Gavia stellata (red-throated loon)
Lineage: Eukaryota; Metazoa; Chordata; Aves; Gaviiformes; Gaviidae
Exons: 10
Source: RefSeq, a predicted model, not a curated record
GAUACGGGGCAACAUGGCGGCGCGCAUGGCACUGUACGGAAAGAAGUGUAGGGAGUCCUCAGAUGCCAAAGGCUGAAGGCGCUUCAGCUUUUCACGCCGAAGAAAUCUCUCUGGCUGUGUUGCCCGGGUUGCCUUUGGGGGAUUUGCUUAUCAACGCCGACGAGCAAUUUAGGAGCCCAUGUCAGGGUGCGACUGACAGAGCUGCCGGCAAAGAUACCGCGUCCUGGGUUGAAGAACUGACAUCUACUUCUCCGAGGCACUGAAUGAGGGCAACGCAAACCAGAAAUCGAUGCCGUCCCCCUUUGGAGAGGGAAGAUUUCUGUGCAAACAGGAGCUCCUCGGGGUCACCACGCAUCCAAAAUGCUGGGUGCUAUCCACACCGCUGUCUAUAGGCGCUGAGCCCGCAGGUCCUCGCUCGCAGACCGUGUCCUCUAAACAACCCGUGGGAGAUGCCGGCACCUCUGGAGGGUGGCCCGAUGUCACCAGGUCAGGCCUCUGUUUCUAUUCCUCCUCUGGAGGAUCCUGUUCCUGCCAUGACUAUAUCGGGAUCUUCCAGCCCUCCCUUCCAUCUCGGCAUUUAAACCAGCUAAAAUUAGGCGGUGGGAAGGUCCCCUCCCCGCUGCCAGCACAGCUGUCGUGCCCGUGACGGCUCUUCCAGCUCGGUGCAGACGCACAGAGCCUCCAGCGAGUCUGGGUACCUGCUUCCCGGGGCACCGUGGUCCCAGGACCUGCCAAAAUCUCUAGCACGGACAACCCCCGCGUACGCAACCAUCGCAGCCCGCGUGCCCCGGGAGCAAAAGGGCCCCAGUUAGGCCAAUUUCGGCAUUACGGAAAAUCAGCUGCAGGUCUUGCAGGUUGACAGAGCUCUCGGAGGUGGUCCCGGUUAGGAAGCAAACGCGAUGAUGGAGUCAGGGAAAAGGAAUGCGGAUCUUGAAGAAUGGGAUGCAAAAAUCAGGAAGUUAACGGAAGAGUUCGAAGAAAGCGACACGGAACUCGAGGAGUGUGACACAGAAAAUG